RNAcentral lists this long non-coding RNA (1205 nucleotides) under Cyanistes caeruleus (blue tit). Its description in RNAcentral is "lncRNA (ENSCCEG00000018046.1)". Lineage: Eukaryota; Metazoa; Chordata; Aves; Passeriformes; Paridae. The record is from RNAcentral.
CCCAGGGAGCAGGGUGAGCACAGAACCAGCAAGGACAGAUGGACAGAGCCUCUGAACACUCCUCUGACAUCCAGCAGUCCAUAGCAAAGAGGGAGAAGAGCCGAUCUUCCACACAGCUGCCAUGUCCAAGUGCAUGUAAGAGCAAAAGGAGCACACUGGCUGGAAUUGUUGUGGAAGCUCUAAGCAUUGUUCUGUGGUUUCUUCUCUUUCCAAGCAUCUUUGUUUCACUGAUUUCUGGCCAGAAACACAACCUGGAGUGCCCAAGGGCUGUGGCAAAGCCAGCUGUCAUGACAUUUCCAACCUAACCAGAAGUGCAGGAAAUAUCCCAAGAAAGCUUGUUUUUAUAGGCUCCCAGAAGGCUUGCAUAUGUCAGAUAUGCUUAUCCAGACCAAAGCCAGCCUUCCUGAAAUUCACCCCUCACUAACAUUAAUGCUUUUUUCCAUGUCAGCUUGAGUAGUGUGAGAUUUUUGGCAAUCAGGGGAUAGUAAAGAUUUGUUUACUGCUGUUUGGGAAUGGAUGUUGGUUUGUUUAUUGCAAUUCAUGCCAAAGGAAUAUUUCAUAACAAGUAAUAUAUUUGAGCCUAUUCAUUCUUUUCAUGAUUUUCAUUUACUGUAGGGUUUUUGUUUCGAAAGCUUGUGCUAUUCAGCAGUGGCCAAGUACAUAAAGCAAAAGGAGGUGAGGGGACAAAAAAAAAGGGAUUUUUUAAGAUACUAUCUGUUUCUUGAUAAUUUCAAAGGUAAAAUCUCUGACUUGGUGCACAGCAGUUCCAAAACAAGAGAGGGCUGUUAAACUGUUACAUUUUCAAGUAUCAAAGUUUUACAGAAAUGGUGACUUAAUUGAAAACCUUAUAUUGGUUCUGUCACUUAUCCUUGUUUCUUGGCUCAUCUACCUCAAGUGAAUAUUUUAAAUCAUGUUUCCAGUGCAAAUAUGCAUGGCAAGAAAGCUGAAAGGAGUUUUCCAUUACCUCUUAGCUCUCAUCAGGCUUAAAUUUUGCUUCUGCAAGCUUCAGUUGUUCAAAACUGCACCAAAAAUACCUUUAAAGGGUUUUCAAUGCCUGACAUUAAUUUCCUUAUAUAUGUAAAUAUUAACCAAAUAUUUUUGUAUGGUUGUCUGUUUUGAGGCAGUAGGAGGUUGAAUAAGUAUUCAGCCCCCAGGUAAGAUUCCUUGUCUAAUGCAAAAUAAAGCCACAUGGGCCCACUGUUACA